Molecule: transfer RNA, 76 nt
Filed under: Acidobacteriota bacterium
Lineage: Bacteria; Pseudomonadati; Acidobacteriota
Description: Acidobacteria bacterium (groundwater metagenome) tRNA-Ala
Rfam family: tRNA
About the family: Transfer RNA (tRNA) molecules are approximately 80 nucleotides in length. Their secondary structure includes four short double-helical elements and three loops (D, anti-codon, and T loops).
Source: RNAcentral
GGGCGGCUAGCUCAGUUGGGAGAGCGCUGCAUUCGCAUUGCAGAGGUCGAGGGUUCAAAUCCCUUGCCGUCCACCA